AGUCUGACGGAGCAACGCCGCGUGAGUGAUGAAGGUUUUCGGAUCGUAAAGCUCUGUUGUUAGGGAAGAACAAGUACCGUUCGAAUAGGGCGGUACCUUGACGGUACCUAACCAGAAAGCCACGGCUAACUACGUGCCAGCAGCCGCGGUAAUACGUAGGUGGCAAGCGUUGUCCGGAAUUAUUGGGCGUAAAGCGCGCGCAGGUGGUUCCUUAAGUCUGAUGUGAAAGCCCACGGCUCAACCGUGGAGGGUCAUUGGAAACUGGGGAACUUGAGUGCAGAAGAGGAAAGUGGAAUUCCAAGUGUAGCGGUGAAAUGCGUAGAUAUUUGGAGGAACACCAGUGGCGAAGGCGACUUUCUGGUCUGUAACUGACACUGAGGCGCGAAAGCGUGGGGAGCAAACAGGAUUAGAUACCCUGGUAGUCCACGCCGUAAACGAUGAGUGCUAAGUGUUAGGGGGUUUCCGCCCCUUAGUGCUGCAGCUAACGCAUUAAGCACUCCGCCUGGGGAGUACGGUCGCAAGACUGAAACUCAAAGGA
This 538-nucleotide ribosomal RNA is filed under the name Bacillus sp. (in: firmicutes). Its description in RNAcentral is "bacterial SSU rRNA". It matches the Rfam family "Bacterial small subunit ribosomal RNA", at positions 380 to 908 of the family's 1533-position model. The record is from RNAcentral. Lineage: Bacteria; Bacillati; Bacillota; Bacilli; Caryophanales; Bacillaceae.